GCCUCGUUAGCGCAGUAGGCAGCGCGUCAGUCUCUUAAUCUGAAGUUCGUGAGUUCGAUCCUUACACGAGGCA
Molecule: transfer RNA, 73 nt
Filed under: Saccoglossus kowalevskii
Lineage: Eukaryota; Metazoa; Hemichordata; Enteropneusta; Harrimaniidae
Description: tRNA-Lys
Rfam family: tRNA
About the family: Transfer RNA (tRNA) molecules are approximately 80 nucleotides in length. Their secondary structure includes four short double-helical elements and three loops (D, anti-codon, and T loops).
Source: RNAcentral